ACUCCUACGGGAGGCAGCAGUGGGGAAUAUUGCACAAUGGGCGCAAGCCUGAUGCAGCCAUGCCGCGUGUAUGAAGAAGGCCUUCGGGUUGUAAAGUACUUUCAGCAGUGAGGAAGGCGGGUACGUUAAUAGCGUGCUUGUUUGACGUUAGCUGCAGAAGAAGCACCGGCUAACUCCGUGCCAGCAGCCGCGGUAAUACGGAGGGUGCGAGCGUUAAUCGGAAUUACUGGGCGUAAAGCGCAUGCAGGUGGUUUGUUAAGUCAGAUGUGAAAGCCCGGGGCUCAACCUCGGAAUUGCAUUUGAAACUGGCAGACUAGAGUACUGUAGAGGGGGGUAGAAUUUCAGGUGUAGCGGUGAAAUGCGUAGAGAUCUGAAGGAAUACCGGUGGCGAAGGCGGCCCCCUGGACAGAUACUGACACUCAGAUGCGAAAGCGU
RNAcentral lists this ribosomal RNA (435 nucleotides) under uncultured bacterium. Its description in RNAcentral is "bacterial SSU rRNA". It matches the Rfam family "Bacterial small subunit ribosomal RNA", at positions 335 to 762 of the family's 1533-position model. The record is from RNAcentral.